GCGGACGUGGCGGAACUGGUAGACGCGCAGGACUUAGGAUCCUGUACCGCAAGGUGUGCGGGUUCGAAUCCCGCCGUCCGCA
RNAcentral lists this transfer RNA (82 nucleotides) under Phycisphaerae bacterium. RNAcentral's name for it is "tRNA-Leu". It matches the Rfam family "tRNA". Rfam says of the family: Transfer RNA (tRNA) molecules are approximately 80 nucleotides in length. Their secondary structure includes four short double-helical elements and three loops (D, anti-codon, and T loops). The record is from RNAcentral. Lineage: Bacteria; Pseudomonadati; Planctomycetota; Phycisphaerae.